UAAUACGGGGGGCGCAAGCGUUAUUCGGAAUUAUUGGGCGUAAAGGGCGCGCAGGCGGUCUUGUCCGUCAGGUGUGAAAGCUCGGGGCUCAACCCCGGAAGUGCACUUGAAACAGCAAGACUUGAAUACGGGAGAGGAAAGCGGAAUUCCUGGUGUAGAGGUGAAAUUCGUAGAUAUCAGGAGGAACACCGAUGGCGAAGGCAGCUUUCUGGACCGAUAUUGACGCUGAGGCGCGAAGGCGUGGGUAGCAAACGGGAUUAGAUACCCCGGUAGUCCACGCAGUAAACGUUGUACACUCGGUGUAGCGGGUAUUAAAACCUGCUGUGCCCAAGCUAACGCAUUAAGUGUACCGCCUGGGAAGUACGGUCGCAAGACUAAAACUCAAAUGAAUUGACGG
RNAcentral lists this ribosomal RNA (397 nucleotides) under uncultured bacterium. RNAcentral describes it as "bacterial SSU rRNA". It matches the Rfam family "Bacterial small subunit ribosomal RNA", at positions 521 to 916 of the family's 1533-position model. The record is from RNAcentral.